GUAAUACUCCAUAGUUCGUUAUUACUGGAAUGUUUUUCGAACGAAAGAUCCGUCGCUUCAGGAUGAGUCUGCGGCCGAUUAGGUAGUUGUUGGGGUAAUUGCCCAACAAGCCCGUAAUCGGUACGGGUUGUGGGAGCAAGAGCCCGGAGAUGGAUUCUGAGACACGAAUCCAGGCCCUACGGGGCGCAGCAGGCGCGAAAACUUUACCAUGCGGGCAACCGUGAUAAGGAAACCCCGAGUGCCAGCACAGGCUGGCUGUCCGCCAGUUUAAACAACUGGCGAAGAAAGGGCCGGGCAAGACCGGUGCCAGCCGCCGCGGUAAUACCGGCGGCUCGAGUGGUGGCCGCUAUUACUGGGCUUAAAGGGUCCGUAGCUUGAUAAUAGGGUCCCUUGAGAAAUCCGCCGGCUUAACUGGCGGGCGUUCAGGGGAAACUUGUUUUCUAGGGACCGGGAGAGGUGAGGGGUACUGCCGGGGUAGGAGUGAAAUCCUGUAAUCCCGGUGGGACCACCUAUGGCGAAGGCAUCUCACCAGAACGGGUCCGACAGUGAGGGACGAAAGCUGGGGGAGCAAACCGGAUUAGAUACCCGGGUAGUCCCAGCUGUAAACUAUGUGCGUUAGGUGU
RNAcentral lists this ribosomal RNA (623 nucleotides) under uncultured archaeon. Its description in RNAcentral is "bacterial SSU rRNA". It matches the Rfam family "Archaeal small subunit ribosomal RNA", at positions 146 to 774 of the family's 1478-position model. The record is from RNAcentral.